Non-coding RNA from Diplogelasinospora grovesii, 122 nucleotides. The record is from the annotation of a GenBank genome assembly. Lineage: Eukaryota; Fungi; Ascomycota; Sordariomycetes; Sordariales; Diplogelasinosporaceae.
GGCAAGAUGGCCGAGCGGUCUAAGGCGCCACGUUAAGGUCUUCCAAACCCUUAAUCCGCCUCAUCUGAUGAGGUAUAAAUCCGUGGUCCGAAAGGGCGUGGGUUCGAAUCCCACUCUUGUCA